AGGACGAACGCUGGCGGCGUGCUUAACACAUGCAAGUCAAGGGGGCCCAGCAAUGGGCAACCGGCGAACGGGUGCGUAACACGUGAGCAACCUACCGAAAUGUGGGGGAUAGCCGGCCUAACGGCCGAGUAAUACCGCAUACGCUCUCGAUGAGGCAUUUCAUUGAGAGGAACCUACGGGACAUUUCGAGGGGCUCGCGGCCUAUCAGCUAGUUGGCGAGGUAACGGCUCACCAAGGCAACGACGGGUAGCUGGUCUGAGAGGAUGGCCAGCCACAUUGGGACUGAGAGUACGGCCCAGACUCCGUACGGGAGGCAGCAGUGGGGAAUCGUUGCGCAAGUGGCCUAACGGCUGACGCAGGCGACGCCGCGUGUAGGAUGAGCUGUGGAGUCGAACUCGUGUUCGCCGGAAC
Molecule: ribosomal RNA, 411 nt
Filed under: uncultured soil bacterium
Lineage: Bacteria
Description: bacterial SSU rRNA
Rfam family: Bacterial small subunit ribosomal RNA
Source: RNAcentral